GAAAUGCGAUACUUAGUGUGAAUUGCAGAAUUCAGUGAAUCAUCGAGACCUUGAACGCAACCUGCACUCGCCGGCCCACCGGCGAGUAUGCCUGUCCGAGUGUCGACUUACCGAUCUCCAAAGCCUUCCCCGCGAGGGAGCGGCGGCGGAGGAGCUGGGCGUCCGGAGCCGAGCGCGGGGCCGGUCGCCUGAAAUUCAGAGGGGAAGGGAGCUCGGCGACUCGCCGGGCGCCGCGGCAGACGGGUAUCCUCCGGGUGACUUCGUCGCGGCCUCGACGAGGGCGGCGUGCCCUUCCGACCGAGGGAAAAAGCUUCGGCUCGGGGAGAGGGAGACCUCUCUCGCACUUCACUUCACUUCGACUUCGACCUCGAAUCAGGCAAGACUACCCGCUGAAUUUAA
Molecule: unclassified non-coding RNA, 399 nt
Filed under: uncultured fungus
Lineage: Eukaryota; Fungi
Description: sequence contains ITS1
Rfam family: 5.8S ribosomal RNA (bases 1-105)
Source: RNAcentral